GAGCUUGCUCCCUUGAUUUAGCGGCGGACGGGUGAGUAACACGUGGGCAACCUACCUGUAAGACUGGGAUAACUUCGGGAAACCGGAGCUAAUACCGGAUAAUUUCUUUUCUCGCAUGAGAAGAGAUGGAAAGACGGUUUCGGCUGUCACUUACAGAUGGGCCCGCGGCGCAUUAGCUAGUUGGUGAGGUAAUGGCUCACCAAGGCCACGAUGCGUAGCCGACCUGAGAGGGUGAUCGGCCACACUGGGACUGAGACACGGCCCAGACUCCUACGGGAGGCAGCAGUAGGGAAUCUUCCGCAAUGGACGAAAGUCUGACGGAGCAACGCCGCGUGAACGAAGAAGGCCUUCGGGUCGUAAAGUUCUGUUGUUAGGGAAGAACAAGUACCAGAGUAACUGCUGGUACCUUGACGGUACCUAACCAGAAAGCCAC
Molecule: ribosomal RNA, 433 nt
Filed under: Bacillus sp. 037-2.1-CV-H(h)-06
Lineage: Bacteria; Bacillati; Bacillota; Bacilli; Caryophanales; Bacillaceae
Description: bacterial SSU rRNA
Rfam family: Bacterial small subunit ribosomal RNA
Source: RNAcentral